This 448-nucleotide ribosomal RNA is filed under the name uncultured bacterium. Its description in RNAcentral is "bacterial SSU rRNA". It matches the Rfam family "Bacterial small subunit ribosomal RNA", at positions 329 to 794 of the family's 1533-position model. The record is from RNAcentral.
UUCCAGACUCCUACGGGAGGCAGCAGUGGGGGAUAUUGCACAAUGGGGGGAACCCUGAUGCAGCGACGCCGCGUGGGUGAAGAAGCGCCUCGGCGCGUAAAGCCCUGUCAGCAGGGAAGAAAAUGACGGUACCUGAAGAAGAAGCCCCGGCUAACUACGUGCCAGCAGCCGCGGUAAUACGUAGGUGGCAAGCGUUGUCCGGAUUUACUGGGUGUAAAGGGCGUGCAGCCGGAGAGACAAGUCAGAUGUGAAAUCCGGGGGCUCAACCCCCGAACUGCAUUUGAAACUGUUGGUCUUGAGUAUCGGAGAGGCAGGCGGAAUUCCUAGUGUAGCGGUGAAAUGCGUAGAUAUUAGGAGGAACACCAGUGGCGAAGGCGGCCUGCUGGACGACAACUGACGGUGAGGCGCGAAAGCGUGGGGAGCAAACAGGAUUAGAUACCCCCGUAGC